RNAcentral lists this unclassified non-coding RNA (1125 nucleotides) under Hevea brasiliensis (rubber tree). Lineage: Eukaryota; Viridiplantae; Streptophyta; Magnoliopsida; Malpighiales; Euphorbiaceae. The record is from RNAcentral.
AACAGAUCUUAAUAUGUGAUAAAUUAUAACCAAAAAUAAUUCUUAAACAAGCUUAAGGAAACAAAUAAGUAUAUAAAAAUACAAAAAAAAAAUUGUCUACACAUAAAAGAAUAAAAAAAUAAAGAAAGAAAAAGAAAUAUUGUUGAAAAAAUUGUUAAAAAAAUCAGGACCGUUGGAUCACCUUCUCCCCAUUCAUCUUCUUCUUUCGAAACACCAUCUCCGUGUCCAAACCGAACCCGUCAACUUUCCGGACAUGAACCACUUCCGAUUUCUUGAACAUCUCCACCAAUGGCUUUGUGUUGAACAAAUCAUUAGCCGAGUACUUAUCAGCCCGUCGAGAAAUCGCUACGUGUAGCACGCAUAUCCCCCCGGGCUUCAACGUCCGUUCGAUCUCGGCGACGAACUUGUCCGGAUACAACGCGUGAUCGAACACGUUAGAGAACUCGAAAUCAAAAGUCUCAUCAUCGAACGGCUGGUGAUGGAAAUCACCCUUUAUUACCAGCGGCGGGAAGGGCACAAGGUCAAUACCAACAGAAUCGGCGACGCCGAUACGUCUCAGAGCCUCCACCUCCUGGCCGACCCUGGCACCGAUACAUAACGCUUUGGAAUCAUUGGAAAGAAGGUUUCUUUGCUUCAUAUAUUGAAAAAAACUCGCAAAGACUUGAAUUUUACGGUCCCAGUCCCGGGUUGUCCAUAUCUUUCGUAGUUUGGGAUUGAGGGUCUUGUUGAGUUGGUGCUGUAUGUAGGAAUCGUAGGAGGUGUAUCCGGGUCGGAUUCUGAGGUCCUUGAUGGUGGAGGGAGAGUUUUGCGGCAGUGGGUCGGUGGCCGUUUUGAGAGGGAAGAAGAAGAGAAGGAGAGGAAAAGAAAGGAAAAGGGAGAGAAGAAAGUAUUUGAGUAUGGGAGGUUUCUGUUUCAUGUUUUGCAUGUAUCUAUCUAUCUGCAAACUAAAAGACUACAGCUUUGUCCUUUAAAAACACUUUCCUUUCCUCCCUUGAAAAUUGUUUUCCGUCUUGUUUAGGGUUUGCGUUCUGGUUGCAUGGAAGAGAUGGAGGGAAAGGGAAAAAAAAUAAGAGAAAUUUCGAGCGUUAAUUAAUUAGAUAUGGUUAAGCCAAUGAAGGACGGUCA